UACGUAGGGCGCAAGCGUUGUCCGGAAUUAUUGGGCGUAAAGAGCUCGUAGGCGGUCUGUCGCGUCCGUUGUGAAAACUCGAGGCUCAACCUCGGGCUUGCAGUGGAUACGGGCAGACUAGAGUGCGGUAGGGGAGACUGGAAUUCCUGGUGUAGCGGUGGAAUGCGCAGAUAUCAGGAAGAACACCCGUGGCGAAGGCGGUUCUCUGGGACGGUACUGACGCUGAGACGCGAAAGCGUGGGGAGCGAACAGG
Molecule: ribosomal RNA, 253 nt
Filed under: uncultured bacterium
Lineage: Bacteria
Description: partial 16S ribosomal RNA
Rfam family: Bacterial small subunit ribosomal RNA
Source: RNAcentral